CGUGCGGGUGCUUACACAUGCAGUCGAACGGGAUCCAUCAGGCUUUGCUUGGUGGUGAGAGUGGCGAACGGGUGAGUAAUGCGUGACCGACCUGCCCCAUACACCGGAAUAGCUCCUGGAAACGGGUGGUAAUGCCGGAUGCUCCGACUCCUCGCAUGGGGUGUCGGGAAAGAUUUCAUCGGUAUGGGAUGGGGUCGCGUCCUAUCAGGUAGUCGGCGGGGUAACGGCCCACCGAGCCUACGACGGGUAGCCGGCCUGAGAGGGCGACCGGCCACAUUGGGACUGAGAUACGGCCCAGACUCCUACGGGAGGCAGCAGUGGGGAAUAUUGCACAAUGGGCGCAAGCCUGAUGCAGCGACGCCGCGUGCGGGAUGACGGCCUUCGGGUUGUAAACCGCUUUUGAUCGGGAGCAAGCCUUCGGGUGAGUGUACCUUUCGAAUAAGCACCGGCUAACUACGUGCCAGCAGCCGCGGUAAUACGUAGGGUGCAAGCGUUAUCCGGAAUUAUUGGGCGUAAAGGGCUCGUAGGCGGUUCGUCGCGUCCGGUGUGAAAGUCCAUCGCUUAACGGUGGAUCUGCGCCGGGUACGGGCGGGCUGGAGUGCGGUAGGGGAGACUGGAAUUCCCGGUGUAACGGUGGAAUGUGUAGAUAUCGGGAAGAACACCAAUGGCGAAGGCAGGUCUCUGGGCCGUUACUGACGCUGAGGAGCGAAAGCGUGGGGAGCGAACAGGAUUAGAUACCCUGGUAGUCCACGCCGUAAACGGUGGAUGCUGGAUGUGGGGCCCGUUCCACGGGUUCCGUGUCGGAGCUAACGCGUUAAGCAUCCCGCCUGGGGAGUACGGCCGCAAGGCUAAAACUCAAAGAAAUUGACGGGGGCCCGCACAAGCGGCGGAGCAUGCGGAUUAAUUCGAUGCAACGCGAAGAACCUUACCUGGGCUUGACAUGUUCCCGACAGCCGUAGAGAUAUGGCCUCCCUUCGGGGCGGGUUCACAGGUGGUGCAUGGUCGUCGUCAGCUCGUGUCGUGAGAUGUUGGGUUAAGUCCCGCAACGAGCGCAACCCUCGCCCUGUGUUGCCAGCACGUCAUGGUGGGAACUCACGGGGGACCGCCGGGGUCAACUCGGAGGAAGGUGGGGAUGACGUCAGAUCAUCAUGCCCCUUACGUCCAGGGCUUCACGCAUGCUACAAUGGCCGGUACAACGGGAUGCGACACGGCGACGUGGAGCGGAUCCCUGAAAACCGGUCUCAGUUCGGAUUGGAGUCUGCAACCCGACUCCAUGAAGGCGGAGUCGCUAGUAAUCGCGGAUCAGCAACGCCGCGGUGAAUGCGUUCCCGGGCCUUGUACACACCGCCCGUCAAGUCAUGAAAGUGGGUAGCACCCGAAGCCGGUGGCCUAACCCUUUGUGGAUGGG
Molecule: ribosomal RNA, 1408 nt
Filed under: Bifidobacterium pseudocatenulatum
Lineage: Bacteria; Bacillati; Actinomycetota; Actinomycetes; Bifidobacteriales; Bifidobacteriaceae
Description: bacterial SSU rRNA
Rfam family: Bacterial small subunit ribosomal RNA
Source: RNAcentral